GAUAUGCGGAUGGCCCUGCCCACCGCCUCUGCAGCUGUGCCUGUCCCCACCCCAGCCCUGCUCUGGUCACAGGGGCUGCCCAGGCCUCCAAAUCGUCCCCGCGUCACCUCUCCAAGCCGUUCCUCUUCCCCCUCGCCCACGGAAGGCAAAACUGGCGUGGCUUCCUCCAGGCAGCCCUCCUCCCCGCGCCCCUGCCCGAGGCCGGUUAGACCGCCCGCCUGACGCCCGGCUCCCCGCACCGCGGCUGUGCUCCUCCCGCUCUGGAAAUCGGUGUUUAAAUCAUUGCUGUAGUGGCCUUAGGGUUUCUGGAUUCAAAGCCUAGCUCUGCUAGUAACUGAAGUCUGCCCUCCCGCUCCCCCAAGCCUCAGUUUCCCCAUCUGUAAAAUAGCAACAGAGAAUUCCAUGAAAUAAUUCAUGCAGCGUGGAUUCAUGGGAUUCAGAGGCAGCGUGGGCCUUGGCGGAGGCCGAAACAUCCAGCCCGGCUUCCUGAUGCUUCCUGCUACCCCCACUCAGACAACAGUGCAGAGGGGAGACCGAGACCCCGAGAGAUGAGGCCUCGCUGUCCCCGAGCCGCUGUCGCAGUCACAGGCUGAAGACCGGAAGACUCUGCACGCACAAUGAAGCCGGGUGCAUGGUGCGCACCUGUGAUCCCAGCACUCUGGGAGGCUGAGGCAGGAGGAUCUCAACUUCCAGCUCAGCCUGGGCGAUUUAGCUAAGUGUCAAAGAAAAAAAUAAAAAGAGGGCGUGAAGCGUGGGAGGCUGUGCCCCUCUGCCCCGCUCUGGGUCCUGGUAGCUGUCACCUGGCUGUCUUACCCGCCUCGUGGUCUUCAGAGCCGGAUCGGCACUGACAAGGCCAGGCCCUUUGUCCCCCUGCCUUCCCCCCAGCCCCCGCCUCCCACAGCUGUGUCGCCCACACGCAGCACUCUGCCCUCUGGAAUUUAUUUUAAGGUCUUGGCUUGUUUAUUUAUUUUAUUUAGAGAUUUCUCGGUGCUUUGUGGGGAGGAGAAUUCGAAUGGGGUGAUUAUGAAAUACUAUUUCACCUCGCUGUUCAUUCACAACAAACAAAGAGAAAUGAUUGGUGAUUAAAAAUGCAUUCUCCCUGC
This is a long non-coding RNA of Cavia porcellus (domestic guinea pig), 1103 nucleotides long. RefSeq lists it as uncharacterized. Lineage: Eukaryota; Metazoa; Chordata; Mammalia; Rodentia; Caviidae. The transcript has 3 exons. The record is from RefSeq and is a predicted model, not a curated record.